CGGUGAAAUGCGUAGAUAUAUGGAAGAACCCCAGUGGCGAAGGCGGCUGUCUGGUCUGUAACUGACGCUGAGGCUCGAAAGUAUGGGUAGCAAACAGGAUUAGAUACCCUGGUAGUCCAUACCGUAAACGAUGAAUGCUAAGUGUUGGAGGGUUUCCGCCCUUCAGUGCUGCAGCUAACGCAUUAAGCAUUCCGCCUGGGGAGUACGGCCGCAAGGCUGAAACUCAAAGGAAUUGACGGGGGCCCGCACAAGCGGUGGAGCAUGUGGUUUAAUUCGAAGCUACGCGAAGAACCUUACCAGGUCUUGACAUACUAUGCAAAUCUAAGAGAUUAGACGUUCCCUUCGGGGACAUGGAUACAGGUGGUGCAUGGUUGUCGUCAGCUCGUGUCGUGAGAUGUUGGGUUAAGUCCCGCAACGAGCGCAACCCUUAUUAUCAGUUGCCAGCAUUAAGUUGGGCACUCUGGUGAGACUGCCGGUGACAAACCGGAGGAAGGUGGGGAUGACGUCAAAUCAUCAUGCCCCUUAUGACCUGGGCUACACACGUGCUACAAUGGAUGGUACAACGAGUUGCGAACUCGCGAGAGUAAGCUAAUCUCUUAAAGCCAUUCUCAGUUCGGAUUGUAGGCUGCAACUCGCCUACAUGAAGUCGGAAUCGCUAGUAAUCGCGGACUUCCAUGCCGCGGUGAAUACGUUCCCGGGCCUUGUACACACUGCUCGUCACACCAUGAGAGUUUGUAACACCCAAAGUCGGUGAGGGUAGUGUUUCCNGCNUAGGA
Molecule: ribosomal RNA, 776 nt
Filed under: Lactiplantibacillus plantarum
Lineage: Bacteria; Bacillati; Bacillota; Bacilli; Lactobacillales; Lactobacillaceae
Description: bacterial SSU rRNA
Rfam family: Bacterial small subunit ribosomal RNA
Source: RNAcentral